UUGAACCCAAUUCCUCACGUAUGCAAGGCAAGCCCUCUACCACUGAGCUACAUACAACCCCAGUCUCUAUCCACAUAUUUUAAAAGUCUUAUUUCAACAAACCAAAGUACCUUCCUCCUAUACCUAGACUCCACCCCUAUCUUCUUUCACAAAGGCAAGAAUUUUUAGCAAGUUUAUUCUGGCGUUUACCUUUUUGACAGUAUCUAACAGCAUGCUUAAAUUUCCAUAUUUUUUUUUUAAUUUUAGGCUUUAUCUAUUAGCUUCUCAAUACAUAAAGCUCAGUCCAAUGCUAUAUACAUGGAACUUGGAAAAAGGCUGCUUCAAAGGAUGGAUUCAGUGGCAGGAAAAGUCUUUUUCUGUUCCUUAUUUUUCGCCAGUUUGAAUAUAGAUAUGUCGAUUGGAAUGUCAACAAAAUCUUGGACCACAAGGCAAACUUGAGCAUGGAAGACAUUCAUUUAAGAUGUGAAAAAGGAAGAAGAUCAAUGAGGGAAGACCAGCAAGGCUGACUGGGACCUCUGUGUGCAUGGUGGGGAUUGCCCACUCACAGCCUCCAUCGUGGAGUGGACUGGCUGGGCCCAUUUAUCAGGGGACCCUGAUCCAAGCUGCCAGGAGGUGAGCAGUUUUGUUCCACCACACUCCCUGCCUUGAUGUUCUGCUUCAGCACAGACCCAAAAUGACAGCACCAAGUGACCAUGAACUGAAACCUCUGAAAUGGUGAGCCAAAAUAAAUCUUUCUUCUUUGAGGUUGAUUUUCUCAGGUGUUUUGUCAUAGCGAUGAAAAGCUAACUAACAUAGGAGGUUUCAGGUCUACUGUUCAGUGGAGAACUAUUCAGCCCAGGUCUCACUUUUUAUUAUUGUGCCCUGAGUCUCAAUUGUGUCAGGUUUACAUCUGCCUACCUCCUUGAGAUAGUGCAGUUCCUGGGUUCUUUAGAUUGAGGAGGGGGGAUGAUUAUAUAACUUCUAACAACAUGUCUGUCCUUACUUUCAGUUGCAUAUGGCAUGGCCAAUUUUUGAGAUUUUCUGUGAUACCCACUACAUUGCAUUGGUUCUUAUGACACGUGCUUAAGUUUCAGGUUUCCAAAAUUUUAUAUCAGUUUCCAACAGAUUCAUCUUUCCAGUUUCAAGUUUCUGCUUCUCUGGCUCUUCUGUCCUUAUUUUUGAGGGAUAAUGCUUUAUAUCCAAGUGCUUUUUUUAAAAAAAUAUUUUUU
Molecule: non-coding RNA, 1208 nt
Organism: Ictidomys tridecemlineatus (thirteen-lined ground squirrel)
Lineage: Eukaryota; Metazoa; Chordata; Mammalia; Rodentia; Sciuridae
Source: RefSeq, a predicted model, not a curated record